CCUACGGGAGGCAGCAGUGGGGAAUUUUGGACAAUGGGCGCAAGCCUGAUCCAGCAAUGCCGCGUGAGUGAAGAAGGCCUUCGGGUUGUAAAGCUCUUUUGUCAGGGAAGAAACGGUGAGCUCUAAUACAGUUUGCUAAUGACGGUACCUGAAGAAUAAGCACCGGCUAACUACGUGCCAGCAGCCGCGGUAAUACGUAGGGUGCAAGCGUUAAUCGGAAUUACUGGGCGUAAAGCGUGCGCAGGCGGUUUUGUAAGUCUGUCGUGAAAUCCCCGGGCUCAACCUGGGAAUGGCGAUGGAGACUGCAAGGCUAGAGUUUGGCAGAGGGGGGUAGAAUUCCACGUGUAGCAGUGAAAUGCGUAGAUAUGUGGAGGAACACCGAUGGCGAAGGCAGCCCCCUGGGUCAAAACUGACGCUCAUGCACGAAAGCGUGGGGAGCAAACAGGAUUAGAUACCCUGGUAGUCCACGCCCUAAACGAUGUCUACUAGUUGUCGGGUCUUAAUUGACUUGGUAACGCAGCUAACGCGUGAAGUAGACCGCCUGGGGAGUACGGUCGCAAGAUUAAAACUCAAAUGAAUUGACGG
Molecule: ribosomal RNA, 585 nt
Filed under: uncultured bacterium
Lineage: Bacteria
Description: bacterial SSU rRNA
Rfam family: Bacterial small subunit ribosomal RNA
Source: RNAcentral